This 332-nucleotide unclassified non-coding RNA is filed under the name soil metagenome. Its description in RNAcentral is "partial contains 5.8S ribosomal RNA, internal transcribed spacer 2, and large subunit ribosomal RNA". The stretch from base 1 to 120 matches the Rfam family "5.8S ribosomal RNA", at positions 35 to 154 of the family's 154-position model. The record is from RNAcentral.
GAUGAAGAACGUAGCGAAAUGCGAUAAGUAGUGUGAAUUGCAGAAUUCAGUGAAUCAUCGAAUCUUUGAACGCACAUUGCGCCCUUUGGUAUUCCUUAGGGCAUGCCUGUUCGAGCGUCAUUUAAACCUUCAAGCUAAGCUUGGUGUUGGGUGACUGUCCGCUUCACGGCGGACUCGCCUCAAAAUUAUUGGCGGCCGGUACAUUGGCUUCGAGCGCAGCAGAAACGCGAACUCGGGCCCGUCGUAUUGGCUCCAAGAAGCUAUCUUCACAAUUUUGACCUCGGAUCAGGUAGGGAUACCCGCUGAACUUAAGCAUAUCAAUAAGCGGAGGA